UACGGAGGGUGCAAGCGUUAAUCGGAAUUACUGGGCGUAAAGCGUGCGCAGGCGGUGCACCAAGCUCGAUGUGAAAGCCCCGGGCUUAACCUGGGAAUUGCAUUGAGGACUGGUGUGCUCGAGUGCGGCAGAGGGGGGUGGAAUUCCACGUGUAGCAGUGAAAUGCGUAGAGAUGUGGAGGAACACCGAUGGCGAAGGCAGCCCCCUGGGCCGACACUGACGCUCAUGCACGAAAGCGUGGGGAGCAAACAGG
RNAcentral lists this ribosomal RNA (253 nucleotides) under uncultured bacterium. RNAcentral describes it as "partial 16S ribosomal RNA". It matches the Rfam family "Bacterial small subunit ribosomal RNA", at positions 524 to 776 of the family's 1533-position model. The record is from RNAcentral.